UUUGCCAUGUGAGGACACAGCACUCCUCCCCUCUGGAGAAUCCAACAUUAAGGUGCCAUCUUGCAAAUAGGAUGCAUCCUUCACUAGACAAGCUGAACCUGCUGGUCUCUUGAUCUUGGAUUUCACAGCCUCCAGAAUUAUAAGAAAUUGGUGUCUAUCACCCACAAGCCACUUAAGGAAAAUGCUUUUCCUCUGCUGUGACUGCUGUUGUCCUUCAUGAAAUAAAUACUGCCCAGCCCAGGAAGCAAGCUUCAGACACUCCGAAAGUCACAACGCCCUUGAGAUGCCAAAUGACAAUGUGUUCUGUAAAUCAAACGACGUGACGGAGGGACAUGGAUGGAGUUGGAAGCCAUUAUCUUCAGCAAACUAAUGCAGGAACAGAAAACCAAACACCACAUGUUCUCGCUUGUAAGUGGGAGCUGGAAGAUGAGAACACAUGGACACAUGGAGGGAAACAACACACACUGGGGCCUAUUAGGGGGCUGUGGGGACAGGGAGAGCAUCAUGAAGAAUAGCUAAUGGAUGCUGGGCUUAAUACCUAGGUGAUGGGAUGAUCUGUGCAGCAAAUCACCAUGGCACACAUUUACCUAUGUAACAAACCUGUACAUGUACCCCUGAACUUAAAAUAAAAGUUGAAGGAAAAAAAAGAUUCCAUGGAUUUUUCUACACACACAAUCAGGUAAUCUGAGAAUAAAAAACUGUUUUGCAUAUCCUUUAUAAUAUGCAUGCCUUUUAUUUCUUUUUCUUGCCUUAUUGAAAUACUUUCAUAUUGAAUUAAAGUGAGAGUGGACAUGCUUGUUCCCUGUCUUAAGGAGAAAACAUUUG
Molecule: long non-coding RNA, 825 nt
Organism: Gorilla gorilla gorilla (western lowland gorilla)
Lineage: Eukaryota; Metazoa; Chordata; Mammalia; Primates; Hominidae
Exons: 3
Source: RefSeq, a predicted model, not a curated record